This is an RNA transcript of Coffea arabica (coffee), 1288 nucleotides long. It is a transcript of the gene named small ribosomal subunit protein uS9c, with no coding region annotated. NCBI's taxonomy places the organism in Eukaryota, Viridiplantae, Streptophyta, Magnoliopsida, Gentianales, Rubiaceae. The record is from RefSeq and is a predicted model, not a curated record.
CCGGGGGAUAAAAGAAUGGAGGGCGCUUCAGUCAAUUCAAGUACAUUAUCCCCAAAGACUAUAGUACUAUUACUAUACUACAAGUGGAGUGCCCUCUCCUACACGAACAACGAAGAGCAGAAAGCCAUGGCGACUUCCUUAUCUUCUCUGGCCUCAUCCUUGGCUUCUCUCUCCUUCUCUACCCAAAUUUCCCAAAAACCCCAUGCCUCCGCUCUCUCCUUCACUUCUGCUAAGUCCCUUUCCUUAUCUAAGACUUCUACUCCCGUCAUUGCCGCCUCCGCUGCUGCUGUCCCGUCGCCGGUUGAUUUGGAGACUGCCGACCUCAAGCAGCUAGUCAAAUCCAGACUUCCCGGAGGUUUUGCAGCCCAGACCAUCAUCGGCACCGGCCGCCGGAAGAGUGCCAUUGCCCGGGUUGUCCUCCAAGAGGGCUCCGGCAAAAUCAUCAUCAACUACCGUGACGCUAAGGAAUAUCUUCAAGGAAAUCCACUGUGGCUUCAGUAUGUGAAAACCCCUUUGUCUACUUUAGGAUAUGAGAGCAGUUAUGAUGUGUUUGUCAAAGCACAAGGUGGUGGUUUAUCAGGGCAGGCUCAGGCAAUAUCUCUUGGCAUUGCUCGUGCUCUACUGAAAGUCAGUGAGAGUCAUAGAACACCUCUGAGGCAAGAAGGAUUGCUGACAAGGGAUGCGAGAGUGGUUGAAAGGAAGAAAGUUGGUCUCAAGAAGGCCCGAAAAGCUCCACAAUACUCCAAGCGUUGAGCUUGCAGUAACCUAAAAUAAACUUGGCAAGGAAAGGGAAUUGAACCCCUGUGGAAAGAAGUAGAACUAUGGAUGGCAAGGGUUACCGGUCCUAGUUUAGAAUUGAGUUCUGCAGAUGGAUUCAGUUUUUGGCUUGCUGGUCCCAUGUUCUUACUGGUGGUAGAUUGGACUUGUGGACUUGGUUUUGUUGCUGAACAACUGUAAACUGCUCUAUGAAUGUCUGAGCCCCACCUAUUGGUUUGGUAUUUCAUUUUUGCGGUUGAAAUGGACAUCAGGGAUCCUGAUAUCCUGGACAAAUGAAGAUAAGGUUGAAAGCUGGGAUGUGUAACAUUUCUGUAAAUCAGUCGCUGUAUAUGUAGGGAACUGAGGUGACGCCCUUAUUUCUGCAAUUGUCACUAUUCAGAAUUUAUUUUUGACGCAAUCAAUGCAUCCGCUAAAUUUACAAUCGCCAAUUUGAGGCAGACCCUUGAAGAAUCUCCUAUGAAGAUGCUGAACUGUAUCUUUGAUUGAGCAAAUAUGUUUUCCCUUGCAUAAA